UAGGGAAUCUUCCGCAAUGGACGCAAGUCUGACGGAGCAACGCCGCGUGAGUGAAGAAGGAUUUCGGUUCGUAAAACUCUGUUGUUAGAGAAGAACAGCGCAUAGAGUAACUGUUAUGCGUGUGACGGUAUCUAACCAGAAAGCCACGGCUAACUACGUGCCAGCAGCCGCGGUAAUACGUAGGUGGCAAGCGUUGUCCGGAUUUAUUGGGCGUAAAGCGAGCGCAGGCGGUCAAUUAAGUCUGAUGUGAAAGCCCCCGGCUCAACCGGGGAGGGUCAUUGGAAACUGGUUGACUUGAGGGCAGAAGAGGAGAGUGGAAUUCCAUGUGUAGCGGUGAAAUGCGUAGAUAUAUGGAGGAACCCCAGUGGCGAAGGCGACUCUCUGGUCUGUAACUGACGCUGAGGCUCGAAAGCGUGGGUAGCAAACAGG
Molecule: ribosomal RNA, 429 nt
Filed under: Bacteroidota bacterium
Lineage: Bacteria; Pseudomonadati; Bacteroidota
Description: Bacteroidetes bacterium partial 16S ribosomal RNA
Rfam family: Bacterial small subunit ribosomal RNA
Source: RNAcentral